RNAcentral lists this long non-coding RNA (180 nucleotides) under Monodelphis domestica (gray short-tailed opossum). Its description in RNAcentral is "lncRNA (ENSMODG00000043740.1)". Lineage: Eukaryota; Metazoa; Chordata; Mammalia; Didelphimorphia; Didelphidae. The record is from RNAcentral.
UACUGGAAUAUUUCGCAAGAGAUUUUGUUAUCCCCCUGAGUGGAAUGAGCAGAACCAAUUGGACAUUUUAUACAGCAACAGAAAUAUUUGAAAAAUGACUUGAGCAUGUCCACUUCCAGAGAAAGAACUGACAAUAAUUUCAUUUAAUAUCAAAUGGGUAUGGAGAAUAUAGGAUUUGGU